AACAGAUAUGGGGAUAUGGUGCCGGAGACAAUUGCCGGUAAAAUCGUCGGUGGUGUUUGCUCGCUAAGUGGAGUGCUUGUGAUUGCCUUGCCUGUACCAGUCAUCGUGUCCAAC
Rhodnius prolixus is the source of this 114-nucleotide non-coding RNA. The record is from Rfam. Lineage: Eukaryota; Metazoa; Arthropoda; Insecta; Hemiptera; Reduviidae.